RNAcentral lists this ribosomal RNA (304 nucleotides) under uncultured bacterium. Its description in RNAcentral is "partial 16S ribosomal RNA". It matches the Rfam family "Bacterial small subunit ribosomal RNA", at positions 506 to 809 of the family's 1533-position model. The record is from RNAcentral.
CAGCAGCAGCCGCGGUAAUACAGAGGGUGCGAGCGUUAAUCGGAUUUACUGGGCGUAAAGCGUGCGUAGGCGGCUUCUUAAGUCGGAUGUGAAAUCCCUGAGCUUAACUUAGGAAUUGCAUUCGAUACUGGGAAGCUAGAGUAUGGGAGAGGAUGGUAGAAUUCCAGGUGUAGCGGUGAAAUGCGUAGAGAUCUGGAGGAAUACCGAUGGCGAAGGCAGCCAUCUGGCCUAAUACUGACGCUGAGGUACGAAAGCAUGGGGAGCAAACAGGAUUAGAUACCCCCGUAGUCCCUGUCUCUUAUAU